Molecule: transfer RNA, 76 nt
Filed under: Candidatus Woesearchaeota archaeon CG1_02_57_44
Lineage: Archaea; Nanobdellati; Candidatus Woesearchaeota
Also listed under: 1 other name
Description: tRNA-Ala
Rfam family: tRNA
About the family: Transfer RNA (tRNA) molecules are approximately 80 nucleotides in length. Their secondary structure includes four short double-helical elements and three loops (D, anti-codon, and T loops).
Source: RNAcentral
GGGCCCGUAGCUCAAUUUGGCUAGAGCGUCCGCUUUGCAAGCGGGAGGCUUCGGGUUCAAAUCAUGAGUGGGCCCA